Molecule: ribosomal RNA, 518 nt
Filed under: uncultured Acidobacteriaceae bacterium
Lineage: Bacteria; Pseudomonadati; Acidobacteriota; Terriglobia; Terriglobales; Acidobacteriaceae
Description: bacterial SSU rRNA
Rfam family: Bacterial small subunit ribosomal RNA
Source: RNAcentral
GUUUGAUCCUGGCUCAGAACGAACGCUGGCGGCGUGCUUAACACAUGCAAGUCGAGUGCGCGUUUCUGUAGCAAUACAGGAAUGGCGCACGGCGCACGGGUGCGUAACACGUGGGUAAUCUGCCCUCUGAUGGGGAAUAACCCGCCGAAAGGCGGGCUAAUUCCGCAUAACAUUCCUUGGACUCCGGUUCGAGGACUCAAAGGCGUAAGUCGUCGGAGGUGGAGCCCGCGCCCGAUUAGCUAGUUGGUGAGGUAACGGCUCACCAAGGCAAUGAUCGGUAGCUGGUCUGAGAGGAUGGCCAGCCACACUGGAACUGAGACACGGUCCAGACUCCUACGGGAGGCAGCAGUGGGGAAUCUUGCACAAUGGGCGAAAGCCUGAUGCAGCGACGCCGCGUGGGGGAUGAAGCUUCUCGGAGUGUAAACCCCUUUCGACCCGGACGAAUGCCCCGCAAGGGGAGUGACGGUACGGGUAUAAGAAGCCCCGGCUAACUACGUGCCAGCAGCCGCGGUAAUACA